Myzus persicae (green peach aphid) is the source of this 871-nucleotide long non-coding RNA. RefSeq lists it as uncharacterized. The record is from RefSeq and is a predicted model, not a curated record. The transcript is spliced from 4 exons. Lineage: Eukaryota; Metazoa; Arthropoda; Insecta; Hemiptera; Aphididae.
CAUAGCGCAGGCGACGUGUUCCGAAUAGUAGUAGUUUCGUGAUGUGUGUCAAAUUGGCAUUCUUCGAUCGUAAUAUGCCGUGUUCUCGGCCAGGCACGACGAUUUUGAUAUUAUUAUUAUUUUUACAUUCGAUGGUAUAGUAUAGUGACUGGCGGAUAACUCGUCUUGUGAUAAUUUAACGCAGAUUUGACCGAAAUUUAAUUUUCCGUCUCGCAUACUAUUUGCGACACCUCCGACCGCAGGUCAUCUAUGAACUCGUUCACUCGGAUUAAAACUUUUUUGGGUUUGACAAACAACAGUUCCUGUAACACACAAAAAUCACGGAUAUACUUAGACAGGACCGAAAAAACGGUUUCGUGUAUUUUGACAAACAUAAUUUGAUACACAAUACAAGAGGCGAAUUUGAAAUAUUGAUUAUUGGAUAUUGCAGUAAACAACAACGAAAUUUAAUAUCAUGGACGUAAUACGACCGAUGGAGUGAAAUGUCAAUUAAUUUAGUAAAAAUUGAGAGCAGUCAACUAUUACCUACACACAAUAGUGACACAGUCUAUCGUCCUGUAAUGUAUUCAUAUAAUCAUUAUAUAUUUUAAAAAAAUGAAAAUGAACAUGAAGUUACUGUGAUGAUGUGGAUACUACGAAAGAAUUAAUUCGAACAAAAUAAACGAAUAAACGAAAAUAACGUGGAUUAUGGUAAUUGCGUAUAAUACAAAAUAAAGCUUUCCCAGAGGCACAUGUAAAUGAAGCUGUAUGAACGACCAUAAAAAAGUUUAAUAAAACUAUACAAUAUACAUAUAUAGGUAAUAAUGGUUUAAACAUGGUAAAGUAAUAUGUGUUGGUAAUAAAUAUAUAUUUAUUGUAUAUACCAAAACCG